AUAGGUCUGAGGUGGAAGUGUGGCGACACAUGGAGCUGACAGAUACUAAUCGAUCGAGGACUUAACCUA
RNAcentral lists this ribosomal RNA (69 nucleotides) under Bacillus licheniformis. Its description in RNAcentral is "partial 23S ribosomal RNA". Lineage: Bacteria; Bacillati; Bacillota; Bacilli; Caryophanales; Bacillaceae. The record is from RNAcentral.